UCAGGUUCGCGUAUUCGGUACGCGCCGCCGUGUGCCCGACGGCCCGCUGCUGCGGCUCGUUCGAGGUGAGCAGGUUCUGGAUCUGCUGCCCGAGC
RNAcentral lists this transfer RNA (95 nucleotides) under Actinoplanes digitatis. RNAcentral's name for it is "tRNA-Gly". Lineage: Bacteria; Bacillati; Actinomycetota; Actinomycetes; Micromonosporales; Micromonosporaceae. The record is from RNAcentral.